Molecule: long non-coding RNA, 1713 nt
Filed under: Equus asinus (donkey)
Lineage: Eukaryota; Metazoa; Chordata; Mammalia; Perissodactyla; Equidae
Description: lncRNA (ENSEASG00005025015.1)
Source: RNAcentral
GCUCACUCUCUCUCUCUCUGCCAUAUGAGGACACAGCAAGCAAGGCCAGGAAGAAAACCCUCACCAGAAACCAGAUGAGCUGGAACCUUGACCUUGCACUUCUCAAGCCUCCAUAACUAGACAUUGAAAGAGAUGAAGACAUGGAUUACAAAAUCAUGGAAACACGUAUGGAUCUUGGGCCUAGCGGACAGGUAACAGGCAGUGAGAAACCAGGCAUCUCAGACUCAAAAGCUGGAAACCAUGUGAUUCAAAGAAAAUAUCUGCCAAAAACUAUCUCUUGCAAAAUUAGGAAGCCAAUCGAACAGCUUUGAACACACGCCAACCAAGUCUUGAUGCUCUAGGCAAAGUAACUGGAAAAGAUUAUCAGUGUUUGCUGCCUUUUAUUGACUGUUUUUAGGGAGCUGUUACCAAAGAAGAAAGGGAAAGAAAAAUACCGUAGGAAAGAACUGGCUGGUUUGAAAGCAGAGUUAGAAGGAAGAGAGCCAAGAAAUUUGGGGUCUCUCAAGGCAACUAAUUCUGUAUCCCAAAUAAAAAGUGAUAAGAUUGGGGGGGGAAAAACCUCGCUCAUAGAGUUCCUAGUUAAACCAAAGGAUUUAGCCUUAGUGUAGAGAUCGGAUGAAGAUGUUGUCUUCCCAGACAAGACUAUCAUUUCAAAUGAAUUUGAGAUAAACUCCACUAAUUUGAGAGAGAUGCAUGGGAAUUAAGGAUGCAAAAUAAGAUCUCUGGACGUAGUUAUGGGCAGAGGGAACUAACCAGAGCAAAUGAAAUCAGAAGCUGAAUACUUUACUUAGAGACUCGUAUUCUCAAAUAAGCCGUGAGGUGGCCUGAAAAAGGGUUAUGACAGUAAAACAACCACCGGGCCUCCAAUCUUACAGGGCAGGAAGUGACUGCCUAUGCAGCAGCCAGAAAGGGAGAGAAUUAACCCCCCAUCACUGUAGCAGUGGGAGGGUAUCUGACACAGAUACAGUACUUAAAGUCAUAAAGCCAACCAGGAAAAGAAAUACAUAGCCCAUACCGGAAGACAGAGUGGGUGGGUGUUUUUUUCGCAGCAGUAAGUUAGUAGACGCUUGUCUAAAGUUGGCAAAUGAAGAAAUAAAGUUAAAAGUACAUCUUUAUGGUAGUAACUUUCAGGAGAACUAAAACUGUGAGAUUAUGGGGGCAAAGUAGCGGAGGCGGCCGUUUAUUUUUCGUUUUAUGUCCUUCUCUUCUGCUUAAAAUAAAACUAAUCAGUUUUGAUACAUCAUACAAGGAGAUAUCACACAGCAAUUACUAAACAAGACGGAGGUGUGCCAAAAAACCAUUGAGUGAGAAAAGCUAUUGCACACCAGCAUGACAGCCAAAUAUGUUUUUAAAAUGUAUAGAUCUAGAGGUGGACAGAUGGAAGAAGAUUGAUGGAUGGGUGGAUAAUAGACAGACAGACAGACAGACAGACAAAGAAGCUAUAGACACACAAACUUGUUUCUGAGUAGAAUACCAUGAAGGAUACACACCAAACUAUUCCCAAUUUCUUUUGGAUAUAAGGUGAGGGGCAGGGCCUUGGAAGCUGAAACCCACCCUCAAUUAUUUUAGUACCUAUUUUCUUCUACUAAAUUUCAAACUGCAAACCGUAGAUUCAUUGAAUGACAUGCUACUGCUUUCAGAAGGUUACUCAAAACCAUGAAGAUUUGUAUUAUGACAAUGUUAUCGACGCUAUUGCUUGGACUUCUAAUUCUG